UACGGGGGGGAGCAAGCGUUGUUCGGAUUUACUGGGCGUAAAGGGCGCGUAGGCGGUCAGCACAAGUCAGUUGUGAAAUCUCCGGGCUUAACCCGGAAAGGUCAACUGAUACUGUGCGACUAGAGUGCGGAAGGGGGCAACUGGAAUUCUCGGUGUAGCGGUGAAAAUGCGUAGAUAUCGAGAGGAACACCUGCGGCGAAGGCGGGUCUCUGGGCCGUAACUGACGCUGAGGAGCGAAAAGCGUGGGGGAGCGAAACAGG
RNAcentral lists this ribosomal RNA (260 nucleotides) under uncultured bacterium. RNAcentral's name for it is "partial 16S ribosomal RNA". It matches the Rfam family "Bacterial small subunit ribosomal RNA", at positions 524 to 776 of the family's 1533-position model. The record is from RNAcentral.